GACGAACGCUGGCGGCGUGCUUAACACAUGCAAGUCGAACGGAAAGGCCCUGCUUUUGUGGGGUGCUCGAGUGGCGAACGGGUGAGUAACACGUGAGUAACCUGCCCUUGACUUUGGGAUAACUUCAGGAAACUGGGGCUAAUACCGGAUAGGAGCUCCUGCUGCAUGGUGGGGGUUGGAAAGUUUCGGCAGUUGGGGAUGGACUCGCGGCUUAUCAGCUUGUUGGUGGGGUAGUGGCUUACCAAGGCUUGGACGGGUAGCCGGCCUGAGAGGGUGACCGGCCACAUUGCGCCUGAGAUACGGCCCAGACUCCUACGGGAGGCAGCAGUGGGGAAUAUUGCACAAUGGGAGGAAGCCUGAUGCAGCAACGCCGCGUGCGGGAUGACGGCAUUCGGGUUGUGAACCGCUUUCGCCUGUGACGAAGCGUGAGUGACGGUAAUGGGUAAAGAAGCACCGGCUAACUACGUG
This 468-nucleotide ribosomal RNA is filed under the name uncultured bacterium. RNAcentral's name for it is "partial 16S ribosomal RNA". It matches the Rfam family "Bacterial small subunit ribosomal RNA", at positions 28 to 507 of the family's 1533-position model. The record is from RNAcentral.